RNAcentral lists this ribosomal RNA (533 nucleotides) under uncultured Psychroflexus sp. RNAcentral describes it as "partial 16S ribosomal RNA". The record is from RNAcentral. Lineage: Bacteria; Pseudomonadati; Bacteroidota; Flavobacteriia; Flavobacteriales; Flavobacteriaceae.
UACUUAUCACUUUCGCUUAGCCACUCAGGUCUCAAUUAACCCGAACAGCUAGUAACCAUCGUUUACGGCGUAGACUACCAGGGUAUCUAAUCCUGUUCGCUACCUACGCUUUCGUCCAUCAGCGUCAGUUCAUUGUUAGUGAUCUGCCUUCGCAAUCGGUAUUCUGAGUAAUAUCUAUGCAUUUCACCGCUACACUACUCAUUCUAACCACUUCACAAUAACUCAAGAACAACAGUAUCAAUGGCAAUUCUACAGUUGAGCUGCAGACUUUCACCACUGACUUAUCAUCCCGCCUACGGACCCUUUAAACCCAAUGAUUCCGGAUAACGCUUGGAUCCUCCGUAUUACCGCGGCUGCUGGCACGGAGUUAGCCGAUCCUUAUUCUUACAGUACCGUCAACAGUGUACACGUACACCUUUUUCUUCCUGUAUAAAAGCAGUUUACAACCCAUAGGGCAGUCUUCCUGCACGCGGCAUGGCUGGAUCAGGAUUGCUCCCAUUGUCCAAUAAUUCCUCACUGCUGCCUCCCGUAGG